This 411-nucleotide long non-coding RNA is filed under the name Anas platyrhynchos platyrhynchos (common mallard). RNAcentral describes it as "lncRNA (ENSAPLG00000024162.1)". Lineage: Eukaryota; Metazoa; Chordata; Aves; Anseriformes; Anatidae. The record is from RNAcentral.
AUAUAGGAAGCAUGAGGACAGAUGGGGUUAAUUGCUUUCCUAGGGGAGUCUGAGGCCUAGAUUAUCAAGGGUGCUCUUCUACUGUUAUGGUGAAAUGGACUCAGUGUUCCCUGUACAGUAAACCCCUUGGAGUAUGGUUUCACUGGGAAGUAGUUAAGCAGUGAAUCAAGUUCAGAAGCUGGCAGGAGAGACCCAGAUAGAGUAACUCUGAAGUGGAGGAAGGCAUCUAUUAAUACCUAUCAUGUUUCCUUACCUUCAAAAGACCCCCAUACUCUCAACAGAGAGAAGUUAUCUUCAAAGGGUCAUUUCAGGAUUAUUUUCUGGAUGUCUGCAUCUUUGAUAACAUCUAGGGUAACUGAAGUCACCUCCUUCUUCUCUCUCUCCUACAAGAAAAGGAAAACUUUAGUUUAA